AUUGAACGCUGGCGGCAGGCCUAACACAUGCAAGUCGAGCGGAUGAAGGGAGCUUGUUCUUGGAUUCAGUGGCGGACGGGUGAGUAAUGCACAGGAAUCUGCCUGGUAGUGGGGGCUAACGUCCGGAAACGGGCGCUAAUACCGCAUAGGUCCAGAGGGAGAAAGUGGGGGAUCUUCGGACAUCACGCUAUCUGCUGAGCCUAGGUCGGAUUAGCUAGUUGGUGGGGUAAAGGCCUACCAAGGCGACGAUCCGUAACUGGUCUGAGAGGGUGAUCAGUCACACUGGAACUGAGACACGGUCCAGACUCCUACGGGAGGCAGCAGUGGGGAAUAUUGGACAAUGGGCGAAAGCCUGAUCCAGCCAUGCCGCGUGUGUGAAGAAGGUCUUCGGAUUGUAAAGCACUUUAAGUUGGGAGGAAGGGCAGUAAGUUAAUACCUUGCUGUUUUGACGGUACCAACAGAAUAAGCACCGGCUAACUUCGUG
This 484-nucleotide ribosomal RNA is filed under the name uncultured bacterium. Its description in RNAcentral is "partial 16S ribosomal RNA". It matches the Rfam family "Bacterial small subunit ribosomal RNA", at positions 30 to 507 of the family's 1533-position model. The record is from RNAcentral.